GCUCCGGUAGCCUAGUGGUUAGAAAGUUCGCCUCGGAUGCGGAAGGUCGUGGGUUAGAUACCCGGCCGAGUCA
Molecule: non-coding RNA, 73 nt
Organism: Potamilus streckersoni
Lineage: Eukaryota; Metazoa; Mollusca; Bivalvia; Unionida; Unionidae
Source: the annotation of a GenBank genome assembly